UCGAGAAUUUUUCACAAUGGGCGAAAGCCUGAUGGAGCGACGCCGCGUGGGGGAUGAAUGGCUUCGGCCCGUAAACCCCUGUCAUUUGCGAACAAGUUGUUUCACCUAACACGUGAAGCAUUGAUAGUAGCGAAAGAGGAAGGGACGGCUAACUCUGUGCCAGCAGCCGCGGUAAUACAGAGGUCCCAAGCGUUGUUCGGAUUCACUGGGCGUAAAGGGUGCGUAGGCGGUCGGGUAAGUCUGACGUGAAAUCUCCAAGCUCAACUUGGAAAUGGCGUCGGAUACUAUUCGGCUCGAGGAAUGGAGGGGAGACUGGAAUUCUCGGUGUAGCAGUGAAAUGCGUAGAUAUCGAGAGGAACACCAGUGGCGAAGGCGAGUCUCUGGACAUUUCCUGACGCUGAGGCACGAAAGCCAGGGGAGCAAACGG
Molecule: ribosomal RNA, 427 nt
Filed under: uncultured bacterium
Lineage: Bacteria
Description: bacterial SSU rRNA
Rfam family: Bacterial small subunit ribosomal RNA
Source: RNAcentral